This 492-nucleotide ribosomal RNA is filed under the name uncultured bacterium. RNAcentral's name for it is "partial 16S ribosomal RNA". It matches the Rfam family "Bacterial small subunit ribosomal RNA", at positions 29 to 507 of the family's 1533-position model. The record is from RNAcentral.
AGUGAACGCUGGCGGUAGGCCUAACACAUGCAAGUCGAACGGCAGCACAGUAAGAGCUUGCUCUUACGGGUGGCGCGUGGCGGACGGGUGAGGAAUACAUCGGAAUCUACUUUUUCGUGGGGGAUAACGUAGGGAAACUUACGCUAAUACCGCAUACGACCUACGGGUGAAAGCAGGGGAUCUUCGGACCUUGCGCGAUUGAAUGGGCCGAUGUCGGAUUAGCUAGUUGGCGGGGUAAAGGCCCACCAAGGCGACGAUCCGUAGCUGGUCUGAGAGGAUGAUCAGCCACACUGGAACUGAGACACGGUCCAGACUCCUACGGGAGGCAGCAGUGGGGAAUAUUGGACAAUGGGCGCAAGCCUGAUCCAGCCAUACCGCGUGGGUGAAGAAGGCCUUCGGGUUGUAAAGCCCUUUUGUUGGGAAAGAAAAGCAGCAGGUUAAUACCCCGCUGCUCUGACGGUACCCAAAGAAUAAGCACCGGCUAACUUCGUG